Molecule: transfer RNA, 69 nt
Filed under: Niphargus sp. 2 ZH-2022a
Lineage: Eukaryota; Metazoa; Arthropoda; Malacostraca; Amphipoda; Niphargidae
Description: tRNA-Val
Source: RNAcentral
GGAUGAGUUGUAUUCAGUUACGUUGAAUAAUACCUAUUGGCAUCUUUUGUAAUAUGAUGAUUUAAUUAU